UUUCCGUAGGUGAACCUGCGGAAGGAUCAUUACAGAGUUCAUGCCCUCACGGGUAGAUCUCCCACCCUUGAAUAUUUAUACCUUAGUUGCUUUGGCAGGCCGUGGAAACACCAUGGGCUCCGGCUUAUGCGUGCCUGCCAGAGGAAACAAACUCUGUUUUUAGUGAUGUCUGAGUACUAUAAAAUAGUUAAAACUUUCAACAACGGAUCUCUUGGUUCUG
RNAcentral lists this unclassified non-coding RNA (220 nucleotides) under plant metagenome. RNAcentral describes it as "partial contains small subunit ribosomal RNA, internal transcribed spacer 1, and 5.8S ribosomal RNA". The record is from RNAcentral.